AAUAUMGGUAGUAAUAAAUAAUGAAACCCAUAUACAUUGGCGGUCMCUAUUAAUUAGAGGAACUCGCUUUAUAAUCGACAAUACUCGUUAAAUUUAACUUAUCUUUUCAAAAUUUAUAUACCGCCGUUACAGAAUUUAUUAAUAAAUACAAAUCAAUAUAGUAUAAAGCUAAAAAAUCAGGUCARGGKGUAGUUAAUAGAUAARAAAAAGUAAGUUACAUUAAUAUAAAAUUAAGGAUAUUUUUAAAAAAUUAAAAUGGAAAGAGAAUCUAAAUAUACAAAUUACAUUAAAAUAUAAAUUAGAAUUACCAUUGUGACGCACACAUCGCG
Molecule: ribosomal RNA, 329 nt
Filed under: Smeringopus natalensis
Lineage: Eukaryota; Metazoa; Arthropoda; Arachnida; Araneae; Pholcidae
Description: partial 12S ribosomal RNA
Source: RNAcentral